GAUGAAGAACGUAGCGAAAUGCGAUAAGUAAUGUGAAUUGCAGAAUUCAGUGAAUCAUCGAAUCUUUGAACGCACAUUGCGCCCGCUAGUAUUCUGGCGGGCAUGCCUGUCCGAGCGUCAUUUCAACCCUCAAGCCCCCGGGCUUGGUGUUGGGGAUCGGCGAGCCUCCGCGCCCGCCGUCCCCUAAAUCUAGUGGCGGGCUCGCUGUAGCUUCCUCUGCGUAGUAGCACACCUCGCACUGGGAAACAGCGCGGCCACGCCGUUAAACCCCCAACUUCUGAACGUUUGACCUCGGAUCAGGUAGGAAUACCCGCUGAACUUAAGCAUAUCAAUAAGCGGAGGA
RNAcentral lists this unclassified non-coding RNA (343 nucleotides) under soil metagenome. RNAcentral's name for it is "partial contains 5.8S ribosomal RNA, internal transcribed spacer 2, and large subunit ribosomal RNA". The stretch from base 1 to 120 matches the Rfam family "5.8S ribosomal RNA", at positions 35 to 154 of the family's 154-position model. The record is from RNAcentral.